This 701-nucleotide ribosomal RNA is filed under the name uncultured fungus. RNAcentral's name for it is "eukaryotic LSU rRNA". It matches the Rfam family "Eukaryotic large subunit ribosomal RNA", at positions 1 to 684 of the family's 3401-position model. The record is from RNAcentral. Lineage: Eukaryota; Fungi.
AAAAACAAAUUUCGCCCUCAAAUCAGGUAGGACUACCCGCUGAACUUAAGCAUAUCAAUAAGCGGAGGAAAAGAAACCAACAGGGAUUGCCUCAGUAACGGCGAGUGAAGCGGCAAAAGCUCAAAUUUGAAAUCUGUCUUGUUUUUUUUUUAGCAAGACCGAGUUGUAAUUUGAAGAUGGCAACUUUGGGAAUGGCCUUUAUCUAUGUUCCUUGGAACAGGACGUCACAGAGGGUGAGAAUCCCGUCUGAUGAGGUGAUCCAUUUCUUUGUAAAGUGCUUUCGAAGAGUCGAGUUGUUUGGGAAUGCAGCUCUAAGUGGGAGGUAAAUUCCUUCUAAAGCUAAAUAUUGGCGAGAGACCGAUAGCGAACAAGUACAGUGAUGGAAAGAUGAAAAGAACUUUGAAAAGAGAGUGAAAAAGUACGUGAAAUUGUUGAAAGGGAAGGAUAUUAGAUCAGACUUGGUGAAUACUGAUUAUUGUUCUCUUGUAGGGCAUGCUACUCGGUAUACACUGGGCCAGCAUCGAUUGGUUCGGUAGGAUAAUAACAUUUGAACGUGGCUUUUCUCCGGAAAAGUGUUAUAGCAUUUGUUGAUACUACCUGGGUCGAUCGAGGACUGCGUCUUUUUAGANCUAGGAUGCUGGCGUAAUGAUCUAAUAUCGCCCGUCUUGAAAACACGGACCAAGGGCGAAUUCCACCAUUGG